CAAGAGACAAAAACAGAGAGACAAGAAGCCGGCAAUAUCCCAAGCACGUAGGAUCCUGAUAAUUUAGGGUCUGUGCCUCAAUUUCAGACCUUUCAAAUCAGCCUCAGGACUUGGCAUUACACUCUGUGCCCCCUGAGGAGUGAUCUUUGACUUGCUGUGUGAUCAUUAGAUGAUACACAUUUGGGCGGAGAAUCAUCUGUCCUUGUCCCAGGGUGACCCAGAGUAAAGAGUCAAGACUUUGGAAUCAGCUCCCUGGGGCUCCAGUCCCAGAUAUUCCACAUACUAGCUGUGAGCCAUCGAGCAAAUUAUGUAACCUGUCUGAGCCUUGGUUUUUCUCCCAUGAAAACAAGAUUGACACAGCAAAAUCCUUAUGUCACAGAACCCUUCUGACACUUGAUGCAAUCCAUAGUGAAGUCAUUAAGAGUAGAGAUACUAGAGCUAGACUGAUAGGUUCAAAUCCUACUUUGAUCAUACAAUACCUGUGUGACCUAGGGAAAAAACUUUACUGCAUCAUGCCUCAGUUUCCCCUUGGUAAAAUGAGAAUAAUCAUAAUACCUAUCUAUGGGAUUGUUAUGAAAACUACAUGAGUUAAUGUUUUUUGGGUGUUUUUAUUACUCCUUGGUAUAUCUCUUCUUAUUAAACUGCAAGUGCUUGGUAAUUAACCUUAGCUGUUCUUGUCAUUACGUUCAUUGUCCAGCUUAGUGACCUGCAAGCAGCUGCAGCCUCACACACAGGCGUGGAUGCAAUCAUUCAAGAUGUUUUCACACUUGAGCAGGCUGCCCAUUGUGACCCCACUGGAGGCACCCCCAGAGUCUGCUACCCCGACAGUGAGCCUGAUAAUGGGAAAGAGGAUUGCUGAACAAACACAUAGGCUUCGUCUUUCAAGAGAAAACAAACAACCAUGCACAGGCUUGGGAAAGCUGAUGGAAAGAGAACAAAGUGACAAGUUUAGGAAUGAUGACUCUCAUACGUCAAACCACAGAAUAAAAAAAAUUCUGUUAUUCAAACUGCUCCAAAACAUAGAGAAAAAGGAUCUUCAUGGGAGCUGGUGGAUGGUGCAUCCAUAUACAGUGAAGACUGCAGAACCGUUCGUAGGGGAGGACAGGUGCCAUCUGCCAUGGAAUGACUCCCACUCUUUCACCUCUAGUAUUUGA
This 1154-nucleotide long non-coding RNA is filed under the name Chinchilla lanigera (long-tailed chinchilla). RNAcentral describes it as "lncRNA (ENSCLAG00000026422.1)". The record is from RNAcentral. Lineage: Eukaryota; Metazoa; Chordata; Mammalia; Rodentia; Chinchillidae.